GCCCGCUUGGCCCAGUGGUAAGGCGUCUCACUCGUAUGUUUCCAGCCGCACGGCUGCUUACAUAAUCAUGAGAAGAUCAGUUGUUCGAGUCAGCUAGUGGGCA
This is a non-coding RNA of Mycena rosella, 103 nucleotides long. Lineage: Eukaryota; Fungi; Basidiomycota; Agaricomycetes; Agaricales; Mycenaceae. The record is from the annotation of a GenBank genome assembly.